Molecule: small nuclear RNA, 326 nt
Filed under: Microcebus murinus (gray mouse lemur)
Lineage: Eukaryota; Metazoa; Chordata; Mammalia; Primates; Cheirogaleidae
Description: 7SK RNA (ENSMICG00000021951.3)
Rfam family: 7SK RNA
About the family: 7SK was discovered as an abundant small nuclear RNA in the mid-70s but a possible function has only recently been suggested. Two independent studies have found that 7SK RNA binds the CDK9/cyclin T complex (known as elongation factor P-TEFb).
Source: Rfam by way of RNAcentral
AAAUAUGAGGGCAAGCUGGCUGUGACAUCUGUCACUCCAUUGAUCACCAGGGUUGAUUUGGCUGAUCUGGCUGGCUAGGUGGGUGUUCCUUUUCCCCCUCACUGCUCCACACAUGUCCCUCCCAAAGCUGCACACUCAGUGGAAGAGAACAACCUUCCCUGAUAGAGGACCAUUCUGUAGUCAAGAGUAUACGUAUGAGUAGCUGUAUUCCCCUCCUAGAACCUCCGUACGAGCUCUCAAGGUCCAUUUUCAGAACUUAGGGUAGUCAAGCUUCCAUGAUUUCAGACACAUCCAAAUGAGGUGCUGCAUAUGGCAGUCUACUUAAU